RNAcentral lists this ribosomal RNA (478 nucleotides) under uncultured bacterium. RNAcentral describes it as "bacterial SSU rRNA". It matches the Rfam family "Bacterial small subunit ribosomal RNA", at positions 28 to 502 of the family's 1533-position model. The record is from RNAcentral.
GAUGAACGCUAGCGGCAGGCUUAACACAUGCAAGUCGAGGGGCAGCACGGGUAGCAAUACCUGGUGGCGACCGGCGCAAGGGUGCGUAACGCGUGAGCAACAUGCCCUAUACAGGGGGAUAAUCCAGGGAAACUUGGUCUAAUAUCCCAUAGCAUUUAGAGGAGGCAUCUUCACUAAAUUAAAGCUUCGGUGGUAUAGGAUUGGCUCGCGUGACAUUAGCUAGAUGGUGAGGUAACGGCCCACCAUGGCUAUGAUGUCUAGGGGUUCUGAGAGGAAGACCCCCCACACUGGGACUGAGACACGGCCCAGACUCCUACGGGAGGCAGCAGUGAGGAAUAUUGGACAAUGGAUGGAAAUCUGAUCCAGCCAUGCCGCGUGCAGGAAGACGGCCCUAUGGGUUGUAAACUGCUUUUAAUGGGAGCAAUAAGGUUUACGAGUAGACCGAUGAGAGUACCAUAUGAAUAAGCAUCGGCUAACG